UACGUAGGGUGCGAGCGUUGUCCGGAAUUAUUGGGCGUAAAGAGCUUGUAGGCGGUUUGUCGCGUCUGCUGUGAAAAUCCGGGGCUCAACCCCGGACUUGCAGUGGGUACGGGCAGACUAGAGUGUGGUAGGGGAGACUGGAAUUCCCGGUGUAGCGGUGAAAUGCGUAGAGAUCGGGAGGAAUACCUAUGGCGAAAGCAGGCUUCUGGGCCGUCACUGACGCUGAUCUGCGAAAGCUAGGGGAGCAAACAGG
This 253-nucleotide ribosomal RNA is filed under the name uncultured bacterium. Its description in RNAcentral is "partial 16S ribosomal RNA". It matches the Rfam family "Bacterial small subunit ribosomal RNA", at positions 524 to 776 of the family's 1533-position model. The record is from RNAcentral.